Branchiostoma belcheri (Belcher's lancelet) is the source of this 1103-nucleotide long non-coding RNA. RefSeq lists it as uncharacterized. The transcript has 2 exons. The record is from RefSeq and is a predicted model, not a curated record. NCBI's taxonomy places the organism in Eukaryota, Metazoa, Chordata, Leptocardii, Amphioxiformes, Branchiostomatidae.
CUCCGCCCAGUUCCUUCCAAAGUUUGCCACGUUCUGCGACACUUCAACAAGUUGUGCGGAAGACUCUGACGUUGCGAAGGAAGAAUCGCUCUACUACUACAGGUAAAGUACAGAUACCGAGCAAGAACCCCCGACGACACCUGCCCGACCCUGUCUUGUUUUGACUGACAACAAUGAAGAAGUUCGCCGUGGGACUCCUCUGUGUCUGCCUGCUCAUCGCCUUGGUGCACGUCCAGGAGGCGUCCGGAUUCCGCCGGGGAUUCCGCACGAUCCGGUACCGGAACAGCUACAGUAGCAGCGGCGCCGUGGGGCACGCUCCCGCGCUGGAGGUCACCUUACUGGCCGUCGCCGUGGCUGGGGUGAUGCGGAUGGUGGGAGGCGACUGAGAAAUCGUCAUGGAAAACAGUUAGACCCUGUUUGUUGAUUCAAGUUCAGUCACAAAGCUCUUCAUUUGCUUAUUUUAGUCAGGAAACAAUUUUAGCCUGAACCAUUUAGUGAGAGUAUGUAAUGAUGCACAUUACUUGUAGAUCUCUGUGACAAGUCACACAUGAGCUAGCUUUACACCCAAGUCACUAAAAUACUUUGAAAGGUACAAAAACGGCAACAUAACGGUAGAUUAGAAAAUUUGUGCAAUUCUAUAGAGCAAGCGAGUGAAAAAAUGUUCUUUUAGAGUUUAGAGGAUCAAUAGUACAAAUGAGAUGAAAUACUUUAAGCCUGUCCUGACUGCGCACAACAAUUGUUAAUGAUGUAGAUUUAAAAACGCAAAUAUGAUAAGAUAAAUCUUAAAUUGCAGAGCAGUGAAUUAGUGAAUGUUAAAGAAACUAUUGUCCACGUUCGACUAUAUUGUUGGCUUUCUAGCUUUACUGGAGUUACGCAUGCAUCAAAGUAUAUUGUCUUUAGAACUUUUAUCACACGAUUAUGUAGAAUUCUAUGAACAUAUGUAUAGACGGACGCAGAUGUUACAAGUUCUUCUUGAAUAUAUGGAAACUUCCCUGACAUGUACCCGUCACUGAGUAUUUCUGACAUUUUGCCCCCAGGCUAUGUGGUGGUAGUCUGAAUGAUUUAGUUCUGUUUAUCAAGCAAAUAAAGGGAGCACAAAUAUA